This is a long non-coding RNA of Misgurnus anguillicaudatus (oriental weatherfish), 619 nucleotides long. RefSeq lists it as uncharacterized. The record is from RefSeq and is a predicted model, not a curated record. Lineage: Eukaryota; Metazoa; Chordata; Actinopteri; Cypriniformes; Cobitidae.
AACGUCCCGUGCGCUCAGACCUGAAGCUUUCCAUGCUGUCAUAGCUGAACUGUAUACAUACUGUAGGCUACCUAUCGUCAGUGAACUGUCAGUGUGAAGAUCUCAAUCAUCGCAAGUCAGUUUGAAUAAGAACUUUCUGCACAUACAGCCAGAAUACGCGUGCGUUAGGAAAACGACUGCGCCCUCUGCUGAUAUGGGUGUGAAAAUGCUUCAGUGCUUCCCAUUCUACAGACGCUUCAGGGAAAGGUGCAAAAAACAAUGCCCUCCAGAGACAGUAGAAAGAGAAGUUGUGAAACCACGGUUGUUAUCCACUACCUCCUGGGGCAGCGAAGGGGACAGCGGCAGCAGUUUGUGUCCACAGGCCUAUUUUUCCACCAAGGCCCGACUCUCUCUCCGACACCAGCUGGACAGCAACAUCAAUGCAGUGGAUGCCACGUACUAACUUUGUCUUCCAAGUGGUCUGUUGAGAAUCCUUGAAAGUAAACUUCUGCCUUUCAGUCCCAAUACAGUUUACAUCCCUUUUGAGAUUGAGGGGAACUGGAGGAUGAGGCGUUGAGAGGAUGGAACAUGCAGCAUGAGAGCUAUUCGCAUGCGUGCCGUCACCUCUAUUGAGCGUGCU